CCUACGGGAGGCAGCAGUGAGGAAUAUUGGUCAAUGGACGCAAGUCUGAACCAGCCAUGCCGCGUGCAGGAAGACGGCUCUAUGAGUUGUAAACUGCUUUUGUACGAGGGUAAACGCAGAUACGCGUAUCUGUCUGAAAGUAUCGUACGAAUAAGGAUCGGCUAACUCCGUGCCAGCAGCCGCGGUAAUACGGAGGAUUCAAGCGUUAUCCGGAUUUAUUGGGUUUAAAGGGUGCGUAGGCGGUCGGAUAAGUUAGAGGUGAAAUCCCGAGGCUCAACUUCGUAAUUGCCUCUGAUACUGUGCGGCUAGAGAGUAGUUGCAGUAGGCGGAAUGUAUGGUGUAGCGGUGAAAUGCUUAGAGAUCAUACAGAACACCGAUUGCGAAGGCAGCUUACCAAGCUACUUCUGACGUUGAGGCACGAAAGCGUGGGGAGCAAACAGGAUUAGAUACCCCUGUAGUC
RNAcentral lists this ribosomal RNA (460 nucleotides) under uncultured bacterium. RNAcentral describes it as "partial 16S ribosomal RNA". It matches the Rfam family "Bacterial small subunit ribosomal RNA", at positions 338 to 795 of the family's 1533-position model. The record is from RNAcentral.